UGGCAGGUUGGGUGGUUUCGAUAUGGCUGUGAAGUGCUGUGUUGUCCUCUCCCCUGCCGAAAGCAACUGUCUCCCACAAUCUCUGUCUAACUCAGUUUAUAGUAAGACAGGGACGCUUGGUCUCAAACAC
This 130-nucleotide small nucleolar RNA is filed under the name Tupaia belangeri (northern tree shrew). RNAcentral's name for it is "Small nucleolar RNA SNORA63 (ENSTBEG00000018831.1)". Lineage: Eukaryota; Metazoa; Chordata; Mammalia; Scandentia; Tupaiidae. The record is from RNAcentral.